This is a non-coding RNA of Phrynosoma platyrhinos (Desert horned lizard), 72 nucleotides long. The record is from the annotation of a GenBank genome assembly. NCBI's taxonomy places the organism in Eukaryota, Metazoa, Chordata, Lepidosauria, Squamata, Phrynosomatidae.
GUCAGUGUGGCAUAGUGGUUUAAAUGUUGGACUACAGCUCUGGAGAUAAGGGUUCAAUUCCCUGCUCAGCCA